RNAcentral lists this non-coding RNA (141 nucleotides) under Chloroflexota bacterium. Lineage: Bacteria; Bacillati; Chloroflexota. The record is from RNAcentral.
AGAAUAAUUACCAGCUUGGGUGCCAUAUCCCCCGGAUGGGAUGGCUCAAAGGCGAAGCCGGUGCAUAGUCCGGCGCUGUCGCGCAACUGUAAGGGAAUCCAAUUCCCCAGCCAGGUCGCCCGCCCAAGUUGGGUUCACUGA